This 437-nucleotide ribosomal RNA is filed under the name uncultured bacterium. RNAcentral's name for it is "bacterial SSU rRNA". It matches the Rfam family "Bacterial small subunit ribosomal RNA", at positions 352 to 782 of the family's 1533-position model. The record is from RNAcentral.
CAGUCGAGAAUUUUUCUCAAUGGGCGAAAGCCUGAAGGAGCGACGCCGCGUGGGGGAUGAAUGGCUUCGGCCCGUAAACCCCUGUCAUUUGCGAACAAGUUGAUUCACCUAACACGUGAAGCAUUGAUUGUAGCGAAAGAGGAAGGGACGGCUAACUCUGUGCCAGCAGCCGCGGUAAUACAGAGGUCCCAAGCGUUGUUCGGAUUCACUGGGCGUAAAGGGUGCGUAGGCGGUUGAGUAAGUCUGGCGUGAAAUCUCCGAGCCUAACUCGGAAACUGCGUUGGAUACUAUUCAGCUAGAGGAAUGGAGGGGAGACUGGAAUACUUGGUGUAGCAGUGAAAUGCGUAGAUAUCAAGUGGAACACCAGUGGCGAAGGCGAGUCUCUGGACAUUUCCUGACGCUGAGGCACGAAAGCCAGGGGAGCAAACGGGAUUAGA